GCCGGUGUAGCUCAGUGGUAGAGCAGCGCAUUCGUAAUGCGCAGGUCGUCGGUUCAAUCCCGACCACCGGCU
Molecule: transfer RNA, 72 nt
Filed under: Verrucomicrobiota bacterium
Lineage: Bacteria; Pseudomonadati; Verrucomicrobiota
Description: Verrucomicrobia bacterium tRNA-Thr
Rfam family: tRNA
About the family: Transfer RNA (tRNA) molecules are approximately 80 nucleotides in length.
Source: RNAcentral